Molecule: non-coding RNA, 25 nt
Filed under: Mus musculus (house mouse)
Lineage: Eukaryota; Metazoa; Chordata; Mammalia; Rodentia; Muridae
Source: RNAcentral
UGGAAAGUCCAAGUGGCGUUCUCUC